UGAAGAGUUUGAUCAUGGCUCAGAUUGAACGCUGGCGGCAGGCUUAACACAUGCAAGUCGAGCGGUAACAGGGGGUGCUUGCACCCCGCUGACGAGCGGCGGACGGGUGAGUAAUGCAUAGGAAACUGCCCAGUAGUGGGGGAUAGCCCGGGGAAACCCGGAUUAAUACCGCGUACGCCCUUCGGGGGAAAGCAGGGGAUCUUCGGACCUUGCGCUAUUGGAUGUGCCUAUGUCGGAUUAGCUAGUUGGUGGGGUAAAGGCCUACCAAGGCGACGAUCCGUAGCUGGUCUGAGAGGAUGAUCAGCCACACCGGGACUGAGACACGGCCCGGACUCCUACGGGAGGCAGCAGUG
This 353-nucleotide ribosomal RNA is filed under the name Pelagomonas calceolata. Its description in RNAcentral is "partial Bacterial small subunit ribosomal RNA". It matches the Rfam family "Bacterial small subunit ribosomal RNA", at positions 1 to 356 of the family's 1533-position model. Lineage: Eukaryota; Pelagophyceae; Pelagomonadales; Pelagomonadaceae. The record is from RNAcentral.